Molecule: long non-coding RNA, 231 nt
Filed under: Nicotiana benthamiana
Lineage: Eukaryota; Viridiplantae; Streptophyta; Magnoliopsida; Solanales; Solanaceae
Description: long non-coding RNA (NBEN_LNC040114)
Source: RNAcentral
GAACAAGGAGAAUCGUCCUUUCUAACUCAAUCAACAGACCAGGUACAGAGGAAAUUAGAGGGUAUAUGAAAGAGUUUAAGUACAUGAGGGUCAGAGGUGUUCCCUGUGAUGGCGAGAACUGAAUUGGUAGCAUGCAUCAAUAAUGCUAGCUAGAUACUUUUGUAAAUACCAAUAAUUCUAGCUUGUACUUUAGAGUCUUUGCUUUGAUGACGGUUGUGGAUUUGUGCAAAA